UGAAUCCACAGCAUUGUGCCCUCUAGGCUA
RNAcentral lists this non-coding RNA (30 nucleotides) under Mus musculus (house mouse). The record is from RNAcentral. Lineage: Eukaryota; Metazoa; Chordata; Mammalia; Rodentia; Muridae.